GGGGUUGUGGCUCAGCAGUAGAGCACUUGCCUCACAUGUGUGAGGCUCUAGGUUCGAUCCUUACUACCACA
This 71-nucleotide transfer RNA is filed under the name Marmota marmota marmota (Alpine marmot). It matches the Rfam family "tRNA". From Rfam's summary of the family: Transfer RNA (tRNA) molecules are approximately 80 nucleotides in length. Their secondary structure includes four short double-helical elements and three loops (D, anti-codon, and T loops). Lineage: Eukaryota; Metazoa; Chordata; Mammalia; Rodentia; Sciuridae. The record is from Rfam by way of RNAcentral. RNAcentral also lists the same sequence under 2 other names.